CAGAACUGAACAGAGGCACUGUAGCCAGGGAAGUUCUUUUUCAACUCUUCUUCCCCUCAGUAAACUCAUAUACACAAUAGUUUCUUGAAGGUCCGCCAUUUUCCUUCAAGGAAGUCAAAUUCCAAAUUUACAGGCCUCUGAAAAGGAAAUCGUCCUGUGCUCCCCCGCUUUACCAACUGAAAGACAAAUUCAUUUCUCACAGAAGAGCAGACCAGAGGAAGACUGCAUGGUAACAGACCAUGAAGGUUCAUCUCACACUGCUGAAAGAAAGCAGCAGCUUGUGACAUCGGUACCACGGCUUUUAAGACUUCCUUGCUGACAGCCGGCAGGUUCAAGAUGGAAUCAAGAUGGCUCUGUAUGGCUUUGGGUAGAGUGAAGUAGGAAGCAGCAACCCACGGGAGGAAACAAACAAGGAGAAUCCCAGAGGAGAUCCUGAAACACCCAAGACAGUGUGGGAA
RNAcentral lists this long non-coding RNA (458 nucleotides) under Gallus gallus (chicken). Its description in RNAcentral is "long non-coding RNA NONGGAT008145". The record is from RNAcentral. Lineage: Eukaryota; Metazoa; Chordata; Aves; Galliformes; Phasianidae.